UGAGGAACAUGACCUUCGGCGGGGGAUAGCCGGCCCAACGGCCGGGUAAUACCGCGUACGACCACAUGGGGACAUCCCCGAGUGGUGAAAGCAGCAAUGCGCCGAUGGAGUGCCUCGCGGCCUAUCAGCUAGUUGGUGAGGUAACGGCUCACCAAGGCGACGACGGGUAGCCGGCCUGAGAGGGUGACCGGCCACACGUGGGACUGAGACCACGGCCCAGACCUCCGUACGGGAGGCAGC
RNAcentral lists this ribosomal RNA (240 nucleotides) under uncultured bacterium. RNAcentral describes it as "partial 16S ribosomal RNA". It matches the Rfam family "Bacterial small subunit ribosomal RNA", at positions 118 to 352 of the family's 1533-position model. The record is from RNAcentral.